RNAcentral lists this ribosomal RNA (490 nucleotides) under uncultured bacterium. RNAcentral's name for it is "partial 16S ribosomal RNA". It matches the Rfam family "Bacterial small subunit ribosomal RNA", at positions 29 to 507 of the family's 1533-position model. The record is from RNAcentral.
AAUGAACGCUGGCGGCAUGCCUUACACAUGCAAGUCGAACGGCAGCAUGACCUAGCUUGCUAGGUUGAUGGCGAGUGGCGAACGGGUGAGUAAUGCAUCGGAACGUGCCUUUUAGUGGGGGAUAACGUAGCGAAAGUUACGCUAAUACCGCAUAUUCUCUGAGGAGGAAAGCAGGGGGCCUUCGGGCCUUGCGCUAGAAGAGCGGCCGAUGUCGGAUUAGCUAGUUGGUGAGGUAAAGGCUCACCAAGGCAACGAUCCGUAGCGGGUCUGAGGGGAUGAUCCGCCACACUGGGACUGAGACACGGCCCAGACUCCUACGGGAGGCAGCAGUGGGGAAUUUUGGACAAUGGGCGCAAGCCUGAUCCAGCCAUGCCGCGUGAGUGAAGAAGGCCUUCGGGUUGUAAAGCUCUUUCGGCUGGGAAGAAAUCGCACUCUCUAAUACAGGGUGUGGAUGACGGUACCAGCAUAAGAAGCACCGGCUAACUACGUG